This 585-nucleotide ribosomal RNA is filed under the name uncultured Actinomycetes bacterium. Its description in RNAcentral is "uncultured actinobacterium partial 16S ribosomal RNA". The record is from RNAcentral. Lineage: Bacteria; Bacillati; Actinomycetota; Actinomycetes.
UUGGGAGCUCUCCCAUAUGGUCGACCUGCAGGCGGCCGCGAAUUCACUAGUGAUUCGUAUUACCGCGGCUGCUGGCACGAAGUUAGCCGGGGCUUCUUCUCCGGAUACCGUCAUUAUCUUCUCCGGUGAAAGAGCUUUACAACCCUAAGGCCUUCAUCACUCACGCGGCAUGGCUGGAUCAGGCUUGCGCCCAUUGUCCAAUAUUCCCCACUGCUGCCUCCCGUAGGAGUCUGGGCCGUAUCUCAGUCCCAAUGUGGCCGGUCACCCUCUCAGGCCGGCUACCCGUCAAAGCCUUGGUAAGCCACUACCCCACCAACAAGCUGAUAAGCCGCGAGUCCAUCCCCAACCGCCGAAACUUUCCAACCCCCACCAUGCAGCAGGAGCUCCUAUCCGGUAUUAGCCCCAGUUUCCUGAAGUUAUCCCAAAGUCAAGGGCAGGUUACUCACGUGUUACUCACCCGUUCGCCACUCGAGCACCCCACAAAAGCAGGGCCUUUCCGUUCGACUUGCAUGUGUUAAGCACGCCGCCAGCGUUCGUCCUGAGCCAUGAUCAAACUCUAAUCGAAUUCCCGCGGCCGCCAUGGCG